This 445-nucleotide ribosomal RNA is filed under the name uncultured bacterium. RNAcentral's name for it is "partial 16S ribosomal RNA". It matches the Rfam family "Bacterial small subunit ribosomal RNA", at positions 354 to 796 of the family's 1533-position model. The record is from RNAcentral.
GUAGGGAAUAUUGGGCAAUGGAUGCAAGUCUGACCCAGCCAUCCCGCGUGCCGGAAGAAGGCCCUCAGGGUUGUAAACGGCUUUUGACGGUGAAGAAUCGACAGGAUGCGUCCUGUUUUGACGGUAGCCGUUGAAUAAGCACCGGCUAACUCCGUGCCAGCAGCCGCGGUAAUACGGAGGGUGCGAGCGUUGUCCGGAUUUAUUGGGUUUAAAGGGUGCGUAGGCUGGAAGGUCAGUCAGCGGUGAAAAGCUGUCGCUUAACGAUAGUCUUGCCGCAGAUACUUCCUUUCUUGGAUGAGGAGGAGGCCACUGGAACGGAUGGUGUAGCGGUGAAAUGCAUAGAGAUCAUCCAGAACACCGAUUGCGAAGGCAGGUGGCUGUACCUUAAUCGACGCUGAUGCACGAAAGCAUGGGGAGCAAACAGGAUUAGAAACCCCGGUAGUCC